RNAcentral lists this small RNA (189 nucleotides) under Klebsiella sp. RC2. Its description in RNAcentral is "isrO Hfq binding RNA". It matches the Rfam family "isrO Hfq binding RNA". RNAcentral also lists the same sequence under 1 other name. Lineage: Bacteria; Pseudomonadati; Pseudomonadota; Gammaproteobacteria; Enterobacterales; Enterobacteriaceae. The record is from RNAcentral.
GCAUCACGUUCGGCCAGCGACGGAAAGAUUCACGUUCAUACCGCACGUCGUGGAGGGCACGCCCCGCAGUCCCAGGCUGCCGCUCGCAGACCAGCCUCCAGGGCUUGUUUUGGUAAUGCCUUUCUCCCAUUUAUGGGCUACCCUAGUGGCCUGAGUACAUGACCCGGCGGGUUUGUGCCGGGUCAUUUU